This 252-nucleotide ribosomal RNA is filed under the name uncultured bacterium. Its description in RNAcentral is "partial 16S ribosomal RNA". It matches the Rfam family "Bacterial small subunit ribosomal RNA", at positions 524 to 776 of the family's 1533-position model. The record is from RNAcentral.
UACAGAGGAGCCAAGCGUUGUCCGGAUUGACUGGGCGUAAAGCGCACGCAGGUGGUCGUGCAAGUGUCGUGUGAAAGCAGCUCGCUCAACGAGCUGAGGCAUGGCAGACUGGAUGACUCGAGCCCGUGAGAGGUCGGCGGAAUUGCCGGUGUAGUAGUGAAAUACGUAGAGAUCGGCAGGAACACCCAAGGGGAAGCCAGCCGACUGGCACGGUGCUGACACUGAGGUGCGAGAGCGUGGGGAGCGAACAGG